AGACCCGAAGCCUGGUGAUCUUGCCAUGGCCAAGUGCUAAUUAAUAAGACUGAACGGGUGUCCGUUGCAAGGGACUCCGAAGAGCUGUGGCAAGGGGUGAAAAGCCAAUCUAACCUGGAGAUAGCUGGUCUUCUGCGAAAUCCGUUUUAGCGGAUAGCCCAUUUAUUAAAUUAUAAAAAAAUUCAAAUUAAUUCGUUACUAGACGGUAUGGCACUGGAAGUCACGCAGUUUUUAUUGCCUAAUCAGGGGGCUGUCAUGGCUCUAUCGAUGGCUUCUAACCCCAGAAAUGUAUAGUAUACAAUAAUGGGCAAUCAGACAUAUCGUGAUAAGGCGAUUUGUCAAAAGGGAAACAGCCCAGAACAGGUGUGAAGGUCCCUAACAAACUACUGAGUGAACACAAGGCAGUCCUUUCCAGUGUCUCUCCACAAAGUGGGCUUG
Molecule: ribosomal RNA, 438 nt
Filed under: Rhizophagus custos
Lineage: Eukaryota; Fungi; Glomeromycota; Glomeromycetes; Glomerales; Glomeraceae
Description: partial large subunit ribosomal RNA
Rfam family: Bacterial large subunit ribosomal RNA
Source: RNAcentral